UUUGUUUAUUAUCGGACGCGGGCUGCAACCCGCCAAAAAAAAAAAGGUUUUAUGGGGGUGUCCCUGGGUGGCGGGGCAACCCCGCCCCCAAGAAAAACAAACAAAGUGGCGCAAAAGGACAAAGGGGAAAAUAAAAAAAUCCCAGCCGAAGCCUUUCCAUAUUGUAUUUUGGGAAAAUAUCCUCUCCCCCCCCGUUAAAACCAUACGCAAAGAAUUCAAACCCGCAAAACCCCAACCCUAAACGCGUGGGCCCAGGGUAAAAAAAUUUCCCCCUAUAAAAAAUAUAACAAACCCUCUUUUUUCCCAUUGGCGAGUUUCGCCCACCCCCAGGGCCCCCACCAAUAAACCGUUUUUUUAAGCCGAUGGCUUUAAGGUUAGUUUUAGAAAAGGAAAAUCAUUAACACCUUCCACAACGGAUCUCUUGGUUCAGGCCACGAAGAAGGACGCAGCGAAAUGCGAUACGUAGUGUGAAUUGCAGAAUUCAGUGAAUCAUCGAAUCUUUGAACGCACAUUGCGCCCUUUGGUAUUCCAAAGGGCAUGCCUGUUCGAGAAUCGUUUGUACCCUCAAGCUUUGCUUGGUGUUGGGCGUCUUUUUGUCUUUGGCUCGCCCAGAGACUCGCCUUAAAACGAUUGGCAGCCGGCCUCCUGGUUUCGCAGCGCAGCACAUUCCCGCUCUUGCAAUCAGCAUAUAGAGGUUGGCAAUCCAUCAAGACUUUUUUUUACCUUGACUCGAUCAGUAGUUAACAACC
Molecule: ribosomal RNA, 749 nt
Filed under: Bipolaris sp. Aravind Mdu UI8
Lineage: Eukaryota; Fungi; Ascomycota; Dothideomycetes; Pleosporales; Pleosporaceae
Description: eukaryotic LSU rRNA
Rfam family: 5.8S ribosomal RNA (bases 402-555)
Source: RNAcentral